RNAcentral lists this ribosomal RNA (479 nucleotides) under uncultured bacterium. Its description in RNAcentral is "bacterial SSU rRNA". It matches the Rfam family "Bacterial small subunit ribosomal RNA", at positions 29 to 475 of the family's 1533-position model. The record is from RNAcentral.
AACGAACGCUGGCGGCGUGGAUUAGGCAUGCAAGUCGAACGAGAAUCUGGAGGUUCAAGUUUUCGGACAAGAACUUUCGGAGGAAAGUGGCGGAAGGGUGAGUACAACAUGGAUAAUCUACCUUCAAGUUGGGUAUAGCUUCCCGAAAGGGGAGAUAAUCCCGAAUGUGGUGAUCCGGCGCCUGUCGGAGAAUCCAAAGGUGGGGACCGCAAGGCCUGCCGCUUGAAGAUGAGUCCGUGCACUAUCAGCUAGUUGGUGAGGUAAUGGCUCACCAAGGCGAUGACGGUUAGCUGGUCUGAGAGGAUGGUCAGCCACACUGGGACUGAGAUACUGCCCAGGACUCCUACGGGAGGCUGCAGUCGAGAAUCAUUCGCAAUGGCGCAAGCCUGACGGUGCGACGUCGCGUGGAGGAUGAAGGUCUUCGGAUUGUAAACUCCUGUCAUGUGGGAUAAAUGGCCAGGGCAUGAAUAGUGCCUUGG